GCCCUUGUGCUGCGGUCUCUUGUCUUUCGCCGCGAUGGGUAUUCCCAAGCUCUUGCUCUCUCACCUCCGCCGUUCUCGUGCCGUCUCCUCUCUAAACUCUCUCUCUCGUGCCUAUGUUUCUCACUUCCUUAUAAACCCUACCCCGCUCCUCUCGCAAGCUCCAAUUCCCUCUCAUAAUCCCCGCGGGCCUCACUACGCGAACGCAUUCACUUCUUUUCAUUUGUUUAACAAUCGAUCCUUCUCGACUCGAUCAGAUGACGACUUGGAGUUUUUCGCCGACUCAGUUACCAUGUCUGGCGUCGAGUCAAAGCCUCCAGAAUUUGCAGUUAAUGAGGUUGCCGAAGCUGUAGUUAAGGGUAGCACUGGCGGCGAGGAGUCGAUUCUUCCUGUUCGAGCAUUGAUUUCGUUGCUUGAUGGGUUUCAUGAUCUCACUGGCUUGCCUUGGUGGAUAGUUAUUAUUACAGCCACAGUAUCUAUGCGAGUUUUGUUGUUCCCUUUACUUGUUCUGCAACUUAACAAGUUGAAGCGGAUAUCGGAGUUACUUCCAAAAUUGCCUCCUCCAUUUCCACCACUCCUGUCAGGAAAGAGCUACAUAGAUCAAAUUUCACUAUUUCGGAAGGAAAAAAGGGCACUUGGCUGCCCCUCAUUUUUAUGGUUUAUUGCAUAUGUCUCUGUCCAGGUGCCAUGCUUUCUUUUGUGGAUGACCAGUAUUCGACGAAUGUCUUUGGAUCAUCAUCCUGGCUUUGACUGCGGUGGUACUCUAUGGUUUUGGAAUUUGACUGAAUUACCUCAUGGUGUUUUAAGUCCAAUCUUUCCGCUGCUGAUUGCUACUUUGCACUACAUUAAUGUUCAGCUUUCUUUUGAGAAAUUUUCUGUUCAGAAAACAGGCGGAUUAUUGGGCUUACUGGCAAAAUACUACAAGAAGUAUUUGGAUUUUCUAUCACUGCCUCUGGGUUUCAUCAGCUUCUGCAUUCCUCAGGGAAGUCUGGUCUAUUGGGUCACCAAUAGUUCAUUAAGUGUUAUCCAGCAAUUAUCCCUCAAACAUCCCACCGUACGUGCAAAGUUGGGGUUACCAGUCAAGGAAUCUCAGGCAGAGGCAGAAGCAGAAGAGUCUACAGAAUUGGGUAUGUUAGAAAGGACUUCUUCCAAUUCACCAAGCAAACAGGGCAAAAUUUCAGUGGAAAAUUUAAGCCCCAAGAAACUGCUUGCUCUCUCAGUCCAACUUGUAUCUGAUGGUCAUAGAGAAAGAGCAAUUCCUUUGUUACAGCUGGCAAUUCAGAAGGACCCUAACUACAUUGAACCCCUGCUUGUUUUGGGGCAGACUAUGCUGCAAAAAGAAAUGUAUGCAGAGGCUCAAGAAUAUUUGGAGCAUGCUAUUUCCAAGGUCUGUACAUUUGUGUCGCCUCUUCCAUUCUUUUCAAGAUAUUUGUUGAUGGCCAUCCAACGGAAGUUAAAUAUGCUGAUUUUGUAAUUCUUGCAUCUCAGUGGGCUGGUGCUGCCUGUAUACGGCAGGGGAAGAAUGCAGAAGGAAUGGUGCACCUAGAAAGAGUUGCAAGUUUAGAAGAGCCAGAGGAUCCAAAUAGCAAAGUACAUUAUUAUAACAGUUUGGUAUUCCUUGCAAGUGCUUUAGUCAACGAAGGUCGUAAAGCUGAAGCUCUGAAGUACCUACGCUUAGCUGUUGCUUAUAAUCCUGCUUACAAAGAAUUGCUAGAACAAUGUGAGAAUGAAGACGAAGAAUUUGGCAGUGAUCUUGUCAACAGCAGGAGAAGAGAUUAUUAACCUCUUGCAAUUUUACAAGAUAAUGUUCAUUCUUUUGCUUGAGUUGAUUCCUUUGAUUUAUCAUUGUACCUUAUAAUAAAACCAAUUGUUUUAAAGUUAUUUGACAUAAUAAUAAUAAUUUUGUUUUGUUGUUCUUA
Molecule: RNA transcript, 1916 nt
Organism: Manihot esculenta (cassava)
Lineage: Eukaryota; Viridiplantae; Streptophyta; Magnoliopsida; Malpighiales; Euphorbiaceae
Gene name: ALBINO3-like protein 2, chloroplastic
Exons: 14
Source: RefSeq, a predicted model, not a curated record